UACGGAGGGGGCGAGCGUUAUUCGGAAUUAUUGGGCGUAAAGGGCGCGUAGGCGGCCUUGUAAGUCAAAGGUGAAAUCCCUCGGCUCAACUGAGGAACUGCCUUUGAAACUGCAAGGCUUGAGGCCGGGAGGGGGUAGCGGAAUUCCCAAUGUAGCGGUGAAAUGCGUAGAUAUUGGGAGGAACACCAGUGGCGAAGGCGGGUUGCUGGGCUGAUACUGACGCUGAGGCGCGAAAGCUAGGGGAGCGAACGGG
Molecule: ribosomal RNA, 253 nt
Filed under: uncultured bacterium
Lineage: Bacteria
Description: partial 16S ribosomal RNA
Rfam family: Bacterial small subunit ribosomal RNA
Source: RNAcentral